UUGGUGAGGUAAUGGCUCACCAAGUCUGCUAUCGGUAGCCGGACUGAGAGGUUGAACGGCCACAUUGGGACUGAGACACGGCCCAGACUCCUACGGGAGGCAGCAGUGGGGAAUAUUGCACAAUGGGCGAAAGCCUGAUGCAGCAACGCCGCGCGAGGGAAGACGGUCUUCGGAUUGUAAACCUUUAACUUUGGAGAAGAAAGAAAUGACGGUAUCCAAAGGAGCAGCCACGGCUAACUUACGUGCCAGCAGCCGCGGUAAUACGUAGGUGGCCAGCGUUGUCCGGAAUUACUGGGUGUAAAGGGAGCGCAGGCGGGGAGGCAAGUCAGCUGUGAAAUGCAUAGGCUUAACCUAUGAAUUGCAGUUGAAACUGUUUUUCUUGAGUGGAGUAGAGGUAGACGGAAUUCCGAGUGUAGCGGUGAAAUGCGUAGAUAUUCGGAGGAACACCAGUGGCGAAGGCGGUCUACUGGGCUCUAACUGACGCUGAGGCUCGAAAGUGUGGGGAGCAAACAGGAUUAGAUACCCUGGUAGUCCACACUGUAAACGAUGAUUGCUAGGUGUGGGGGGUCUGACCCCUUCCGU
Molecule: ribosomal RNA, 582 nt
Filed under: uncultured bacterium
Lineage: Bacteria
Description: bacterial SSU rRNA
Rfam family: Bacterial small subunit ribosomal RNA
Source: RNAcentral